UACGUAGGGUGCGAGCGUUGUCCGGAUUUAUUGGGCGUAAAGAGCUUGUAGGCGGCUCGUCACGUCGGGUGUGAAAACUUGCGGCUUAACCGCAAGCCUGCACCCGAUACGGGCGGGCUAGAGUUCGGCAGGGGAGACUGGAAUUCCUGGUGUAGCGGUGGAAUGCGCAGAUAUCAGGAGGAACACCGGUGGCGAAGGCGGGUCUCUGGGCCGAUACUGACGCUGAGAAGCGAAAGCGUGGGGAGCGAACAGG
RNAcentral lists this ribosomal RNA (253 nucleotides) under uncultured bacterium. Its description in RNAcentral is "partial 16S ribosomal RNA". It matches the Rfam family "Bacterial small subunit ribosomal RNA", at positions 524 to 776 of the family's 1533-position model. RNAcentral also lists the same sequence under 1 other name. The record is from RNAcentral.